Molecule: non-coding RNA, 249 nt
Organism: Paramuricea clavata
Lineage: Eukaryota; Metazoa; Cnidaria; Anthozoa; Malacalcyonacea; Plexauridae
Source: the annotation of a GenBank genome assembly
UGUAAUCUAAUUCCAGAAUGUAUACGCAUCAAUGACGAUGAAAUUUGCGGAUGCCCUCCAUGUAAGUAUAAACUGUAUGAUAUUGUUUUAAUACAAUUAAAAUAUAUAAAUUUUUUAUUUAAUUUUUCUUUUGCGCAAAAUUUAAGAUAACAACAGUGCCAUGCACCACCAUUCAAUGAUUAUUCCUUGUGCAUGUCGCCGUUGUUUUGGUCGUAAUUAAUUAGUAAUGUCCUCCAUACAACAGUUCAU